This 114-nucleotide ribosomal RNA is filed under the name Cordylochernes scorpioides. RNAcentral describes it as "partial 5.8S ribosomal RNA". Lineage: Eukaryota; Metazoa; Arthropoda; Arachnida; Pseudoscorpiones; Chernetidae. The record is from RNAcentral.
ACGGUUAUACCACAUUGAAAACACAUGUUCUCGUUCGAUCACCGAAGUUAAGCAAUAUCAGGCCUGGUCAAUACUUGAGAUUAAUUAUUCCAAAAUUGGCCAAAUAUCCAUUCU